This 470-nucleotide ribosomal RNA is filed under the name uncultured bacterium. Its description in RNAcentral is "bacterial SSU rRNA". It matches the Rfam family "Bacterial small subunit ribosomal RNA", at positions 355 to 825 of the family's 1533-position model. The record is from RNAcentral.
UCGCGAAUCAUUCACAAUGGACGCAAGUCUGAUGAUGCCACGCCGCGUGCGGGAUGAAGGCCCUUUGGGUUGUAAACCGCUGUCAAGGGAGGGGAAACACCUAGCGUUAACAGCGCUAGGCUUGACUGCUCCCUAAAGGAAGCCCCGGCAAAACACGUGCCAGCAGCCGCGGUAAUACGUAGGGACCAAGCGUUGUUCGGAUUUACUGGGCGUAAGGGCGCGUAGGCGGCAAUUCAAGUCAUCUGUGAAAUCUCCGGGCUUAACUCGGAACGGUCAGAUGAUACUGCUUUGCUAGAGUGCAGAAGGGGCAAUCGGAAUUCUUGGUGUAGCGGUGAAAUGCGUAGAUAUCAAGAGGAACACCUGAGGUGAAGACGGGUUGCUGGGCUGACACUGACGCUGAGGCGCGAAAGCCAGGGGAGCAAACGGGAUUAGAUACCCCAGUAGUCCCUGAGCGGGCUGGCAAGGCGCAU